Molecule: ribosomal RNA, 253 nt
Filed under: uncultured bacterium
Lineage: Bacteria
Description: partial 16S ribosomal RNA
Rfam family: Bacterial small subunit ribosomal RNA
Source: RNAcentral
GACAGUGGUUGCAAACGUUGUUCGGAAUUACUGGGCAUAAAGCGCACGUAGGCGGUCCGUUAAGUCAUGUGUGAAAUCCCCCGGCUCAACCGGGGAAUUGCGCCUGAUACUGGCGGGCUAGAGAUCGAUAGGGGUGAGUGGAACUCCAGGUGGAGCGGUGAAAUGCGUAGAUAUCUGGAGGAACGCCGGUGGCGAAAGCGACUCACUGGAUCGAUACUGACGCUGAGGUGCGAAAGCUAGGGUAGCAAACGGG